This 305-nucleotide ribosomal RNA is filed under the name uncultured bacterium. RNAcentral's name for it is "partial 16S ribosomal RNA". It matches the Rfam family "Bacterial small subunit ribosomal RNA", at positions 508 to 807 of the family's 1533-position model. The record is from RNAcentral.
ACAGCAGCCGCCGCGGUAAUACGUAGGUGGCAAGCGUUAUCCGGAAUUAUUGGGCGUAAAGCGCGCGUAGGCGGUUUUUUAAGUCUGAUGUGAAAGCCCACGGCUCAACCGUGGAGGGUCAUUGGAAACUGGAAAACUUGAGUGCAGAAGAGGAGAGUGGAAUUCCAUGUGUAGCGGUGAAAUGCGCAGAGAUAUGGAGGAACACCAGUGGCGAAGGCGACUUUCUGGUCUGUAACUGACGCUGAUGUGCGAAAGCGUGGGGAUCAAACAGGAUUAGAUACCCCGGUAGUCCCUGUCUCUUAUAC